GGAAGCUUUGGAUCUAUUUUGCAUUCCAUAAGGAUUCCACCAUCAUAAUCUUUAAUAUACCCUUGCCAACGCUCUUUCUCUAAAUAAAUCUCUUUUGUGAAUCCCUGUUUGACAAAGUAACCAACAGCAUUGUUGUCAGCAUAUGUUAGAAAAUGAGUCAGCCCAUCCACAUCGCGUGCAUGCUGCUUCAAGUGAUUCAUCAAUCUGGUGCCAUAGCCCUUAACUUGUUCAUCUGCUGUAAUUGCACAAAAAGCUAUCUCCCCA
Molecule: unclassified non-coding RNA, 264 nt
Filed under: Hevea brasiliensis (rubber tree)
Lineage: Eukaryota; Viridiplantae; Streptophyta; Magnoliopsida; Malpighiales; Euphorbiaceae
Source: RNAcentral